CACAGACUGGACACAUGUUCUCUAGCUAAAGUAUCAAUGACACCAUUUUUUUCUUCUUUCAUAAAAAAAAAAUAAUUUUACAACAAAUUGGAGCCGACCACGAGGAUAUUGGAGUGAAGAAGAAAGUGAAGAACUUCUGACGCCGGUUCAAUAUACACUACUGUGCUUUUAUAGAGUUCUCCAACUCCAAGCAGCGCAGUUAAUGCUAAGGUUGCUAUUGGAUACCAACCCUCUGGUGACGUAUUUACCUCGGAAUCCUCGCAUGCAUUUAUAUACCAAAGACGUCUUAGGAAAUGACACUUGCUAUCGUGCCAACCGUCACUUCAUUAAUUCUGUUUAUUUUAAAUUGUCUGCAUCUAAGACAGCAGCUUAAGUAGCAGCGUAAAGAAAUCGACGUAUGUUGGGGGUAUAGCUCAGUGGUAGAGCAUUCGAC
This is a long non-coding RNA of Microplitis demolitor, 433 nucleotides long. RefSeq lists it as uncharacterized. The transcript is spliced from 3 exons. The record is from RefSeq and is a predicted model, not a curated record. Lineage: Eukaryota; Metazoa; Arthropoda; Insecta; Hymenoptera; Braconidae.